Cervus elaphus (red deer) is the source of this 1461-nucleotide long non-coding RNA. RefSeq lists it as uncharacterized. The record is from RefSeq and is a predicted model, not a curated record. NCBI's taxonomy places the organism in Eukaryota, Metazoa, Chordata, Mammalia, Artiodactyla, Cervidae. The transcript is spliced from 3 exons.
GGGUGGAACAAGAUGGGCAGGGGCAAGGGCACGAUUGCAUUGACACCUUGAACUCUGCUCAGUGUCCCCAAAUGGAAUCAUCACCUUUCCCCUCCAUUGCAACAUUUUUCCAGCACCUCUGGCCUGGGAAAUGCCAAAAUUAUACAGAAGUCGGUCAAAGUGCAAAAAUCAGGUGACAGUGACAGACCUGAUGGCCUGGGAUGGGGGACUCAGGGUCACUGGUACCCACUUUGUAACCUCACCUCUCCCUUGACAGAAAAGGACAAACUGAGCUGAGUGUGGAGCACUUCUCAGCCAACUCCAAAUGGGCCUGCCACCCAAGUAAAGCUGCACUGUCACCCACCACCGCUGGAGGCUUGGAAUUGGGUUUGUGGGCACAGAGACUGGAUUAGGGGCCACCAGGAGAUACCAAAAUGUCUUGCCAAUCUGAAGUUUCUAAAGAAAACUCUGGCCAAUGGGAGAUGAGCACAUGGCAGAUCCCUUGGCCCUGCCCAGAUUCAGGAAAGAGAGAGAAAGGGGAUAAGAGAAAGGACAGAAAUGGGGAAAUUGUAAAGACCAGUCCACCUUAAGGAGGCAUAGAGACAGGAUACUAAAUGGGGAAUAGAGAAGCACAGAGAAACUUUGAGAUGCCCUGAGAAAGACAUGGUUAGAGGAACGGGUGUUUGAGAAAUUCGUAGUGGCUCCUUUGCACCAGGUAUCGAGCAUAGGACCUCAGUUGAGCAGAGCUCAGCUGUCUACUCUGGAGCGUAGGUCAGUGGUGAGUGGAUCAUGCUGGGUUGCUUGGUGAAGCAUCAGGGCCAGCAGCCCUGUCCGAUUCAUAAUGGCUGUGCGCACCUCUGCUCCUUCUCAACCAGCUCGUGCAACUGUGGGGGUAAGUGUGAGAAGGGGCUUGUAGGAUCCCAUGCUGCCCCUCAGCCACACUCAGCCUUGUAACCCACUGCACGAACACACUCCAGGUCCACCUCAGCACGCCUCAGCUUCGCCCAGCAAUAGUGGAGGUUGCAGAAGCAUUUGGGGAGAUGACAGAAAUCAUCAGUGACCUCAAAGACAUUGUGCACUAGUGGACAACCACACACCUCAUCGUCUGGAACCUGUGGGCAGAAAGAAUGAUGAGGUUGAAACAAAUGUAGAUAAGACUAGUGCAUGAUUUUGAACUGCUUCUGGAUCCAUGCCAGGAAAUCUACUUAAACGCCUAUCUUGAAGGUCAUCGUUUCGCCCUUACUAGAAGUCGGAUUGAGGCGUGAAGAUGAAGAGAUGCCAUGGAAAGGGACCAGAAUAAAGGGAGACAGCUGAGAAAGGAGGAGGAGGGUUUGGAGAAAGAGAAAGUGACUUUAGUUCUCCCAUUUCCUCUUCCAUUUUCCUACAUCUUCCCAAAUAAUGUAACCUUCUUCCUAGGAUGAUAUUCAACCUGUAAACACAAGUAUGUCCUUUGCUGGAGAUGAAAGUGCAAGUGUUAGUCGA